CUCUACUGGGCAAGUGACUUCCAGCUUGCAGCCCAGCUGAGUCCGGACCAGGGAGCAGCCCAGGACAGACAAGACAAGAGAGAGGAAUCUGGAUUACAACAUAAGUGCCAAGCUUGAUACCCAAUGUGCUUAUGAAAAGCAAAAGGAAGUGGAAUGCCUCAACUUAAACCAAGGCAGCGCAUUGAAAACCCCCACUUAAAGUGCAGCUGCGAUCAGAAGAAGA
Alligator sinensis (Chinese alligator) is the source of this 223-nucleotide long non-coding RNA. RefSeq lists it as uncharacterized. The record is from RefSeq and is a predicted model, not a curated record. Lineage: Eukaryota; Metazoa; Chordata; Crocodylia; Alligatoridae. The transcript is spliced from 3 exons.